UUACGGGAGGCAGCAGUGAGGAAUAUUGCGCAAUGGAGGCAACUCUGACGCAGCCAUGCCGCGUGCAGGAAGAAGGCGCUACGCGUUGUAAACUGCUUUUAACCGGGAAGGAACCCCAGGACGUGUCCUGGGUUGACGGUACCGGAGGAAUAAGCACCGGCUAACUUCGUGCCAGCAGCCGCGGUAAU
This 188-nucleotide ribosomal RNA is filed under the name uncultured bacterium. RNAcentral describes it as "partial 16S ribosomal RNA". It matches the Rfam family "Bacterial small subunit ribosomal RNA", at positions 339 to 524 of the family's 1533-position model. The record is from RNAcentral.